RNA transcript from Spinacia oleracea (spinach), 3625 nucleotides. It is a transcript of the gene named heat stress transcription factor A-6b, with no coding region annotated. NCBI's taxonomy places the organism in Eukaryota, Viridiplantae, Streptophyta, Magnoliopsida, Caryophyllales, Amaranthaceae. The record is from RefSeq and is a predicted model, not a curated record. The transcript has 4 exons.
UUAAAUAAACAAAUAAAUCUAAGACCAAUAACAAGUGGGGCAUAUAUUCUCCACCAAUCAAAAUUGCUCAAAAUACAAUUUUUUUUUAAAUCAUUAUUUAGGGACUCAAAAUACAAUUAUUUAUUUAUUUAUCUUUCCAUUUUCUUUCUAAUUGUUAGAUAAUCAACCCCAUCCGGCCACUCCUCAUCAUUAGUAGAUCAGCAUGACUCAGCAAACUACAACAAUCAUUUUUUUAAUCUCUCCUUCUCAAUAAAUUCCAGAACUUUCCAAAACUCCUCAUCCCAAUAUAUCAACCAAAAUCUUCUAUCAAAAAUAAAUAAUUAAAAAACAUCAACCAAGAAAUAAAAAUGAAACCCACAAAUAAAAACAUGACACCUAUACAAAUCCACAAACAUAAAAAUGACCCCCCAUAUUAGAUGGUUCCUUCAUCCUUCCCUUCUAAACUCUAGAACUUUCCACUCAAAAAAAAAAUUAAAAUUUUAAUUUUGUUAAUAUAAUUUCUAUUUAAUGGUCCAAAUGUCACUCACUCAACCCUCCUCAAUCUUAUUAGUCACAAAAUCUUCCAUAACAAAUCCACAAUAACUGCCAAAACCUACCUUAGAGCAGAAACAGAGCAUGUUUUAUUGUCCUCUUAAAAUCAAAUUCUUAGCUCAAAUUUUGCAUUCCUUUUUUGUACCAAAAAUUUUACAAAAUCUUUUCCAAAAUCCCUUUUAUUUAUACUAAUCAAAGUUUCAAUCUUUUUCUCAAUUUUCUCUCUCCUCUUCUCCCCUGUUUGGAUUUUGUUUCUUUUUGUGUAUAAAUUUGAUCAAAUUUUCAUCCGGGGUUAUACUAAUUUCAUCUCUAACUUGAAUAAUUGAAGAAAUUUCAUCAAAAUCUCAUCUGGGUUUCCUUCAAUUUCAAUCAAUUAAGCUCAAUUUCAGUCACAUUGUUACUCAAUCUUUCAAAAAAUCAAGCUUUUUCUUAGACCAAUCAUCAAAACCCCAGAAAAAUUCAACCUUUGAAUUUUAUAAAUUUUCAUCAAAUGAAUCCCUUAUAUCAACAAGUAAAAGAAGAGUACCCGGAAUCAGGGUCGUCGGUGACAUUUUCCGGCGAGGGUUCCUCGAACUUUCCGGCGCCGCAACCGAGAGAAGGAUUACAUGAAAUGGGCCCACCUCCAUUUUUAACGAAGACUUAUGAGAUAAUUGAUGAUCCAAUUACUGAUAACAUAGUUUCAUGGAAUAAAGAAGGUCAAAGCUUUGUAGUUUGGGAUCCUUAUGCCUUUUCUUCUGGUUUACUUCCAAGAAAUUUCAAGCACAAUAAUUUCUCUAGCUUUGUGAGGCAGCUUAAUACUUAUGGUUUUAGAAAGAUUGAUCCAGACAAAUGGGAAUUUGCCAAUGAAGGGUUUCUAAGAGGGCAAAAGCAACUACUCAAGAACAUAAGAAGAAGGAAAAACUCAUCAUCAAAUCAUUUGUUAUUUCCUCAACAAGAAGGGAUAGACCCUCUUGUAGAGCUAGGAAGAUUUGGGCUUGAUGGUGAAGUGGACCGAUUAAGGCGCGAUAAGCAAGUACUAAUGAUGGAAUUAGUGAAGAUAAGACAACAACAACAGAACACAAGAGCCUUCUUACAAGCUAUGGAACAAAGGUUACAAGCAACUGAAAUGAAGCAACAACAAAUGAUGAACUUUUUAGCAAGGGCAAUGCAAAACCCUACUUUUCUCCAACAAUUAGUCCAACAAAAGGAGAAAAGGAAAGAAAUUGAGGAAGAAUUUAGCAAGAAAAGGCGUAGGCCGAUUGAUCAAGGGCGAAAGGGUCAUUUACAAAGAGGGGAGUGUAGUAGCAGUGUACCCUAUACAAGUGUAGGAAAUGAUGGUUACAUUAAGUCUGAGCCUUUAGAAUUUGGUGGUUCUUAUGGUUAUGAUCAAUAUGAUAAUCUUGGUUGUGUUUCUGAGCUUGAGGUAUUAGCCCUUGAAAUGCAAGGGCAUGGUAGGGGAGGGGCCGAGGUGGGGGAGGAUGAACGCGGUGGUGGUGGUGGUGGUUUGGAGCAAUUUGAAGGCGGUGGUGAUAAAGAACUAGAUGAUGAAUUUUGGGAGGAGUUGUUAAGCGAAAGGUUUAAGGCCGCCUCAAGUAAUCAAGGAGGUGAAGAUCAUGAGGAUGUGAAUGUGUUAGCUGAUAGGUUGGGUUACUUAGGUUCAAGCCCCAAGUAGAAGGUUCAUUUCCAUGAAAUAGGGAGGAGAUCAAGAAAGUCAAGAAACCAGCCAAAGUUGACUGUUUUAUGAGGAAGAUUUAAACUGCUUUAUUUUAUUUCAAGUCAUUGCUGAUUAAUUGAAGUCCUUUUGUUGUCAAACUCAAAUGUUCCUUUUUUUCCAAUUGUGUUUACAUUAUUGUAGGAAUGCAGGCAAAGUUGAAGUUUUUUUGCACCAAAAAAUUGUGCAAAAGAUUGAUUGGAAAUGAUCUGAAGUUCGAAUCGAAAAGAAAAGAGUUUGCUGCCCUACAAAUCAACAUGAUUGAGAAACAUGGUAGUUUAAUUGUUGUCUGAAAACUUCUAUCAGCUGACAGUAUUUUUUUCUGCAAGUUUUUUCAGCUGUUCAUGGUUCAGCUAUCAGAAAAAAGCUUAUCAUCUGGGGAUCAUGUUUAUUCCACCGCCUUGUAUAUUGGAAGUACCACCUUGUCUCCACCCUCAUUAGACUUCUAACACCUUCCUCCACCACCUACAACCACUCUAAACCACCACCCUCUGCCGCUGUCAACCGCCCAACCUACCAACCUGUCGAGCCAACCACACCCUUUUUCCUCUUUUGUACUAGUUUAGAUUUGAGAACCAAAAUAGUUUAGUUUUGUUACUACAGUACUUUAUAUCUAUGUUUGCAGCUAACACAACAAUAAGCACUGUUAACAUUCUGAAUUAAAAUCUGAAUCAAUGGUUUAAUUAUCUAGUCAGUGUCACUGACUUAGUGGUAAACUAACUGGUAAUAUAACCCCUAGCAGAACUUGGGAAAGUAGAACUUGUUAGGAAGGGUCUUUUGCUAUGUAUAAGCAUUUCCUAAUAAGUGGGUGAUAUUGUUUGGUUAAACUUACUUCCCAUGGAAAGUUCCAUAUCUAGGGAAUUUAGGUUAAACAAGUUCGUUCAUUUUGUAGAAAGUGUGACUUUUUUUUUUUGGGUUAAAAACUAGUCACUUCAUUUAAAUAUAAACAUCAAAAGGUUGUAAUGUUUUGUUCAUAUCGCCCCACUCCUUACGGAGGCAAAAAUACAGCCACUUAUGGCAUAAUUACGAAGCAAGCAUGCUCCCAAAAAGUAAGUUUCAUUGUCACUAGAGAUAUCAUUAGCUAAACUGGGGGGGGGGGAGAAAGUUCAACGCCUUGAUCCAACAGACUCAACCAGGCCUUGGUCUUCUUUGCCACGUAAUCCGCCUCCAAGAGUUCUUCUCUUCUUUGGAAGAAGUCACGGGAGCCUGUGUGUGAAAGUGUGACUUCAUUAUUUAUGUUUUUGUCAACUAGACAGUCCUACAAUCUUUCACUUCCCAGGAAGUCAUUUUCAUGUCAACCAAACAUCAUCUAGGUGGGCUAUUCCACGUCUUCACCUAUUACCGAUUGAUUUUAGGAUGUUUUUUCACGUUUAUGUAAGAAAUAUGAGUGUUUUUUACUGUUCA